Molecule: ribosomal RNA, 465 nt
Filed under: uncultured bacterium
Lineage: Bacteria
Description: partial 16S ribosomal RNA
Rfam family: Bacterial small subunit ribosomal RNA
Source: RNAcentral
GAUGAACGCUGGCGGCGUGCUUAACACAUGCAAGUCGAACGGAAAGGCUCCUGCUUGCAGGGGUACUCGAGUGGCGAACGGGUGAGUAACACGUGGGUGAUCUGCCCUGCACUUCGGGAUAAGCCUGGGAAACUGGGUCUAAUACCGGAUAGGACGAUGGUUUGGAUGCCAUUGUGGAAAGUUUUUCGGUGUGGGAUGAGCUCGCGGCCUAUCAGCUUGUUGGUGGGGUAAUGGCCUACCAAGGCGUCGACGGGUAGCCGGCCUGAGAGGGUGUACGGCCACAUUGGGACUGAGAUACGGACCAGACGCCUACGGGAGGCAGCAGUGGGGAAUAUUGCACAAUGGGCGCAAGCCUGAUGCAGCGACGCCGCGUGGGGGAUGACGGCCUUCGGGUUGUAAACUCCUUUCGCUAGGGACGAAGCGCAAGUGACGGUACCUGGAGAAGAAGCACCGGCUAACUACGUG